GUUUUUUCGUUCUCGUAUUUCUGAUUUCGGCCAAAGCACACGCGUUUUAAAUCAAAUCGAAUUUUGCAAAGAAGUGCUAAGUCCACGUGUGUAUAUAUAUAUUCACCACCUCGGGCUUAAUAACCGCCCAACAAGACAAACAGACUAAUAAGUGAAGCACCACAAAGCUAAAUUCAAACGCCGAAAGUGGCUGGCGUAAUUUAGCUGGCACCGAUCGCAACAUCCAACUUAUAGUUGAAAAACUAAUUAGGAGUGCGCAGCGCUAUUUGAUCAAAUCGCCUGGUGCUCGUUUUGGCCCACUCUGGCUGCCAACACGUGGAGCGGGACUACUCGAGCCGAGCCACAUACAGUUUACCAGUGCAAAUUUAAGUUUCGAGCCAAGCUUUCCAACCGUUGUAAGACGUAAGGAAAACUUAAGUUCCUAGAUUGAUACACGUGUUGUUCGCCAUAUUCGACUGCACUGGAAACAGAAUUAAAGUAUUCAUGUUGGCAAGGGAAAAAUACUAAAUAUAUACCAAUCAGCUGUUGAACGGACGAUGUUAUUAUAUGUUAUUCAGUAUCAGUGGCGUUCUGGUAUUCUUUUGUUUUCAUUUAAAUUCGACUGAAGGAAAAGAAACCAAAUAUAUACCAAUCACCAGGUCACAUCGGAAGAUUUUGCCACUUUUAAUAACAGAUCUUCCACCUCACAAAAUUUUGUGAGAUGCUUAUCUAGGGACGUGUCAACUGUGUGAGAAAUUCGCGACCAGAAUUUCUAUCUGUGCGUUCUCGGAGAACGGAAGGUAAACUGACAGAGCUUUUUAGAUUCAGCGGCUACAACGAAUAAGAUAAACAACGACGAAUCUUGAGUCGGAGGAAGGGGUGCAUUUGAUUAUUCAGACUCAGGCUAAUAAAGUCAAAAGAAAUGGCAGUUCGGCAACUUACUGGUGUCGCGUGGCCAGAACAACGGCCACGAUCUUUAUUCUCGGGACAAAGUAUCUGGACCGGGUGAGACGCACCACUAUCUGAUUACCGCCAUAUAAUAAAAUGAGAUGCGUACAUUUUACCAAAAGCCCCGAGAGUGAACAUUCGUAUGGUAGGAUAAGAGGAAGUCGUUUAUCAUACCACAAACUGUCGGAGGCUGUUACGCGGCCGCGUGCCCUGAUUAGCUCUUUCUGGACUACUUUUGGUUCAAAAUCUGUUCGUUUUUGUUUAAGUCACAAUAAAACUAUGAAACCUGGUCCACUUCUGGAACGAGGUGUCGACAAUCAAAAAAUACACAUAGGAAUACAUAGAAAUGGGAUUACGGAUCGGCCAGGUUCCUGUGCGGAAUGCAACCCAAAAAUAAGGAUUAGGAUGGGUGAAAAAGGCGUUUGUAUUUCACCCGUGGAAAGGCUAUGGGCAAGGGAAAAAUACUAAAUAUAUACCAAUCAGCUGUUGAACGGACGAUGUUAUUAUAUGUUAUUCAGUAUCA
This is a long non-coding RNA of Drosophila biarmipes, 1450 nucleotides long. RefSeq lists it as uncharacterized. The record is from RefSeq and is a predicted model, not a curated record. The transcript is spliced from 5 exons. NCBI's taxonomy places the organism in Eukaryota, Metazoa, Arthropoda, Insecta, Diptera, Drosophilidae.